UGAUCCUGGCUCAGGACGAACGCUGGCGGCAUGCCUAAUACAUGCAAGUCGAACGAGCUUCCGUUGAAUGACGUGCUUGCACUGAUUUCAACAAUGAAGCGAGUGGCGAACUGGUGAGUAACACGUGGGAAAUCUGCCCAGAAGCAGGGGAUAACACUUGGAAACAGGUGCUAAUACCGUAUAACAACAAAAUCCGCAUGGAUUUUGUUUGAAAGGUGGCUUCGGCUAUCACUUCUGGAUGAUCCCGCGGCGUAUUAGUUAGUUGGUGAGGUAAAGGCCCACCAAGACGAUGAUACGUAGCCGACCUGAGAGGGUAAUCGGCCACAUUGGGACUGAGACACGGCCCAAACUCCUACGGGAGGCAGCAGUAGGGAAUCUUCCACAAUGGACGAAAGUCUGAUGGAGCAAUGCCGCGUGAGUGAAGAAGGGUUUCGGCUCGUAAAACUCUGUUGUUAAAGAAGAACACCUUUGAGAGUAACUGUUCAAGGGUUGACGGUAUUUAACCAGAAAGCCACGGCUAACUACGUGCCAGCAGCCGCGGUAAUACGUAGGUGGCAAGCGUUGUCCGGAUUUAUUGGGCGUAAAGCGAGCGCAGGCGGUUUUUUAAGUCUGAUGUGAAAGCCUUCG
RNAcentral lists this ribosomal RNA (627 nucleotides) under Levilactobacillus brevis. RNAcentral's name for it is "bacterial SSU rRNA". It matches the Rfam family "Bacterial small subunit ribosomal RNA", at positions 14 to 606 of the family's 1533-position model. The record is from RNAcentral. Lineage: Bacteria; Bacillati; Bacillota; Bacilli; Lactobacillales; Lactobacillaceae.